This 117-nucleotide non-coding RNA is filed under the name Burkholderia cenocepacia. Its description in RNAcentral is "ALIL". It matches the Rfam family "ALIL pseudoknot". The record is from RNAcentral. Lineage: Bacteria; Pseudomonadati; Pseudomonadota; Betaproteobacteria; Burkholderiales; Burkholderiaceae.
CGCGUUUUUUGACCAGGCGGAACUCGACCGCCGUUUCAAGUCCUGACGGCGUUCGUCGAUCAGCAUCGCGACACCUUCGGGGGCGAGCCGAUCUGCAAGGUCUUGCGGAGCGCCCCG